RNAcentral lists this ribosomal RNA (472 nucleotides) under uncultured bacterium. RNAcentral describes it as "partial 16S ribosomal RNA". It matches the Rfam family "Bacterial small subunit ribosomal RNA", at positions 28 to 507 of the family's 1533-position model. The record is from RNAcentral.
GACGAACGCUGGCGGCGUGCUUAACACAUGCAAGUCGAGCGGAAAGGCCCUUCGGGGUACUCGAGCGGCGAACGGGUGAGUAACACGUGAGUAAUCUGCCCUUGGCUUUGGGAUAACUACCGGAAACGGUGGCUAAUACCGGAUACGACAACCGUCUGCAUGGGCUGGUUGUGGAAAGUUUUUUCGGCCAGGGAUGUGCUCGCGGCCUAUCAGCUUGUUGGUGGGGUAAUGGCCUACCAAGGCUUCGACGGGUAGCCGGCCUGAGAGGGUGACCGGCCACACUGGGACUGAGACACGGCCCAGACUCCUACGGGAGGCAGCAGUGGGGAAUAUUGGACAAUGGGCGGAAGCCUGAUCCAGCAACGCCGCGUGAGGGAUGACGGCCUUCGGGUUGUAAACCUCUUGCAGUACCGACGAAGCGCCGAUGAUGGUGGUGACGGUAGGUACAGAAGAAGCACCGGCCAACUACGUG